This 329-nucleotide long non-coding RNA is filed under the name Lynx pardinus (Iberian lynx). The record is from RNAcentral. Lineage: Eukaryota; Metazoa; Chordata; Mammalia; Carnivora; Felidae.
CUCAGAACAAUUUCUUCCCUUUCAGGAAGAGAGACUAAGCCCCACACACAUUCACUGUAUCUGCUCCUGAAGUCAGAAUUGCUAUAUCCAGUUCCUGGCAGACAAAGAAAAUGAAAUAUACCUCAUCUGUGCUCCAUUUGGAAACUUUACUGGCAGGAAUUCCAGCUACGGUGGGGAGAAGUUUGCUCUGCUGCUCCCAGCGCAAGGGCAGACAUGGAAUUGGUGAUUUAAAGGACAGAAAGACAGCCGACCGGCGCUGUGCUUGUUGUAGGCUAGGUUCUUCCCGGGCACCUGCUGGAUUGAAACAAACCGGAACUCACUCUCUGAAA